GAACACUCCGGACAGGGACUUCAUUCUGGACCGACACCCCCGUUUUGAAAACAUUGUCAUCGGAGCCGGAUUUUCAGGCCACGGAUUCAAGUUUGCCCCGGUCGUGGGAAAGAUCCUGUGCGAACUGAGUCUCGGGGAGCAGCCCACUUACGACCUCUCCCCCUUUCGGCUCAGCCGCUUCUUCCAGGGGCCCCUCAAGGCCAGCUUGUGACCGCCAUCCGGCAGAGACGAGGAAGGGGA
Pseudonaja textilis is the source of this 240-nucleotide non-coding RNA. The record is from RefSeq and is a predicted model, not a curated record. NCBI's taxonomy places the organism in Eukaryota, Metazoa, Chordata, Lepidosauria, Squamata, Elapidae.